Molecule: long non-coding RNA, 490 nt
Organism: Ornithorhynchus anatinus (platypus)
Lineage: Eukaryota; Metazoa; Chordata; Mammalia; Monotremata; Ornithorhynchidae
Exons: 5
Source: RefSeq, a predicted model, not a curated record
GCCCAGAGCUCCAAUUGCUCUUCUCCAUUCCUAUGGUCCUAUGAAGAAUACUGUUGGGUUGGAAUCUGGAGCCUAGGAUCACUUGAAAACGUCAUGGAAGCAUGUUUUGUAGGAACAGGGGGAAGAAAGUGGAAAAAACUGAGUUGGGCGUGGCUGACCUCCGGUGAACCAUGGCGCAACUUCCAGAUCACCCGGGGUCCGCACGGCGAUGAGAAGGGUGAUUCUGCGGCCACAAGAGUAACUGGAUCCAAGAGAAGCUAGCCGAGAGCCCCAAUAGCUCUUCUCCUCUCUGGUGAUCCUAUGAAGAAUACUGUUGGAUUAGAAUCUGGAGUCUAGGAUCCCUGGAAAACGUCAUGAAAGACCACCCUCCUGUCUGCUCCUCAUCUCGUAUCACAGGGUACCGCAGGAGGGAAUUGCGAAAUGAAGAAAAGUUCAAGGACUGUCUUGGCAGCUAGCCCAGAGCCCCAGUUGCUCUUCUCCAUUCCCAUGG